RNAcentral lists this ribosomal RNA (427 nucleotides) under uncultured bacterium. RNAcentral's name for it is "partial 16S ribosomal RNA". It matches the Rfam family "Bacterial small subunit ribosomal RNA", at positions 355 to 774 of the family's 1533-position model. The record is from RNAcentral.
UGGGGAAUAUUGCACAAUGGGCGCAAGCCUGAUGCAGCCAUGCCGCGUGUAUGAAGAAGGCCUUCGGGUUGUAAAGUACUUUCAGCGAGGAGGAAGGCGUUGUGGUUAAUAACCGCAACGAUUGACGUUACUCGCAGAAGAAGCACCGGCUAACUCCGUGCCAGCAGCCGCGGUAAUACGGAGGGUGCAAGCGUUAAUCGGAAUUACUGGGCGUAAAGCGCACGCAGGCGGUCUGUCAAGUCGGAUGUGAAAUCCCCGGGGUCAACCUGGGAACUGCAUCCGAAACUGGCAGGCUAGAGUCUUGUAGAGGGGGGUAGAAUUCCAGGUGUAGCGGUGAAAUGCGUAGAGAUCUGGAGGAAUACCGGUGGCGAAGGCGGCCCCCUGGACAAAGACUGACGCUCAGGUGCGAAAGCGUGGGGAGCAAACA